Molecule: ribosomal RNA, 805 nt
Filed under: uncultured bacterium
Lineage: Bacteria
Description: bacterial SSU rRNA
Rfam family: Bacterial small subunit ribosomal RNA
Source: RNAcentral
UGAGUCGAGUGCGCGUUUUCCUGUAGCAAUACGGACAUGGCGCACGGCGCACGGGUGCGUAACACGUGGGCAAUCUACCCUCGAGUGGGGAAUAACCCGUCGAAAGGCGGGCUAAUACCGCAUGACAUUCCCCGGACUUCGGUCUGGGGACUCAAAGCCGUAAGGCGCUUGAGGAGGAGCCCGCGGCCGAUUAGCUAGUUGGCGGGGUAACGGCCCACCAAGGCAAUGAUCGGUAGCUGGUCUGAAGGACGGCCGGCCACACUGGAACUGAGACACGGUCCAACUCCUACGGGAGGCACAGUGGGGAAUCUUGCGCAAUGGGCGAAAGCCUGACGCACGACGCCGCGUGGGGGACGAACCCUUCGGGGUGUAAACCCCUUUCGACCCGGACGAAGUCCCGCAAGGGAUCGACGGUACGGGAUGAAGAAGCCCCGGCUAACUACGUGCCACAGCCGCGGUAAGACGUAGGGGGCCAGCGUUGCUCGGAAUGACUGGGCGUAAAGGGUCUGUAGGCGGUGCGGCAAGUCGGGAGUGAAAUCUCGGGGCUUAACUCCGAGGCUGCUUUCAAACUGCCGUGCUGGAGUGCGGGAGAGGUGAGUGGAAUUGCAGUGUAGCGGUGAAAUGCGUAAUAUCUGCAGAACACCAGAGCGAAGCGGCUCACUGGACCGCACUGACGCUGAGAGACGAAAGCUAGGGGAGCAAACAGGAUUAAUACCCUGGUAUCCUACCCUAAACCAUCAGACUUGGCGUGGUCCCGUUCGGGGCCCGUGUCGACUAACGCGUGAAGUCCUGCGCUGGGGAGUAC